This 505-nucleotide ribosomal RNA is filed under the name uncultured bacterium. RNAcentral describes it as "bacterial SSU rRNA". It matches the Rfam family "Bacterial small subunit ribosomal RNA", at positions 17 to 518 of the family's 1533-position model. The record is from RNAcentral.
UCCUGGCUUAGGACGAACGCUGGCGGCGUGCCUAAUACAUGCAAGUCGAACGGUCUUUUCUAUGGAAGCUUGCUUCCACUGAGAAGAUAGUGGCGAACGGGUGAGUAACACGUGGGUAACCUGCCCAUAAGAGGGGGGAUAACAUCCGGAAACGGGUGCUAAUACCGCAUAGUUUUCUUGAUCGCAUGAUCGGGAAAGGAAAGACGGCCUUUGUGCUGUCGCUUAUGGAUGGACCCGCGGCGUAUUAGUUAGUUGGUGAGGUAACGGCUCACCAAGACGAUGAUACGUAGCCGACCUGAGAGGGUGAUCGGCCACAUUGGGACUGAGACACGGCCCAAACUCCUACGGGAGGCAGCAGUAGGGAAUAUUGCACAAUGGGGGAAACCCUGAUGCAAGCAACGCCGCGUGAGUGAUGACGGUCUUCGGAUUGUAAAGCUCUGUCUUCAGGGACGAUAAUGACGGUACCUGAGGAGGAAGCCACGGCUAACUACGUGCCAGCCGCCGC